RNAcentral lists this transfer RNA (77 nucleotides) under Flammeovirgaceae bacterium TMED32. Its description in RNAcentral is "tRNA-Thr". It matches the Rfam family "tRNA". From Rfam's summary of the family: Transfer RNA (tRNA) molecules are approximately 80 nucleotides in length. Their secondary structure includes four short double-helical elements and three loops (D, anti-codon, and T loops). The record is from RNAcentral. Lineage: Bacteria; Pseudomonadati; Bacteroidota; Cytophagia; Cytophagales; Flammeovirgaceae. RNAcentral also lists the same sequence under 1 other name.
GCCUCCUUAGCUCAGUUGGCCAGAGCAGCGCACUUGUAAUGCGCGGGUCGUUGGUUCGAAUCCGACAGGAGGCUCAA